CCUACGGGGGGCAGCAGUGAGGAAUAUUGGUCAAUGGACGAGAGUCUGAACCAGCCAAGUAGCGUGAAGGAUGACUGCCCUAUGGGUUGUAAACUUCUUUUAUAUGGGAAUAAAAUGUUCCACGUGUGGGAUUUUGUAUGUACCAUAUGAAUAAGGAUCGGCUAACUCCGUGCCAGCAGCCGCGGUAAUACGGAGGAUCCGAGCGUUAUCCGGAUUUAUUGGGUUUAAAGGGAGCGUAGGUGGAUUGUUAAGUCAGUUGUGAAAGUUUGCGGCUCAACCGUAAAAUUGCAGUUGAAACUGGCAGUCUGGAGUACAGUAGAGGUGGGCGGAAUUCGUGGUGUAGCGGUGAAAUGCUUAGAUAUCACGAAGAACCCCGAUUGCGAAGGCAGCUCACUGGACUGCAACUGACACUGAGGCUCGAAAGUGUGGGUAUCAAACAGGAUUAGAUACCCCAGUAGUC
RNAcentral lists this ribosomal RNA (460 nucleotides) under uncultured bacterium. Its description in RNAcentral is "partial 16S ribosomal RNA". It matches the Rfam family "Bacterial small subunit ribosomal RNA", at positions 338 to 795 of the family's 1533-position model. The record is from RNAcentral.